UGAGCAAUCUACCCCUCUCAUCGGAAUAAGCGUUGGAAACGACGUCUAAUGCCGAAUACGACCUCCUUUCACAUGAUCGGAGGUGGAAAGCUCCGGCGGAGAAGGAUGAGCUCGCGGCCUAUCAGCUAGUUGGUGUGGGUAACGCCCACCAAGGCGACGACGGGUAGCCGGCCUGAGAGGGUGACCGGCCACACGUGGGACUGAGACACGGCCCAGACUCCUACGGGAGCAGCAGG
Molecule: ribosomal RNA, 236 nt
Filed under: uncultured bacterium
Lineage: Bacteria
Description: partial 16S ribosomal RNA
Rfam family: Bacterial small subunit ribosomal RNA
Source: RNAcentral